CUACGGGGCGCAGCAGUGGGGAAUUUUGGACAAUGGGCGAAAGCCUGAUCCAGCCAUUCCGCGUGAGUGAUGAAGGCCUUCGGGUUGUAAAGCUCUUUCGGCCGGGAAGAAAUCGUGCAGGCUAAUAUCCUGCAUGGAUGACGGUACCGGAUCAAGAAGCACCGGCUAACUACGUGCCAGCAGCCGCGGUAAUACGUGGGGUGCGAGCGUUAAUCGGAAUUACUGGGCGUAAAGCGUGCGCAGGCGGAUGUUUAAGCCAGAUGUGAAAUCCCCGGGCUUAACCUGGGAAUGGCAUUUGGAACUGGACAUCUAGAGUGUGUCAGAGGGGGGUGGAAUUCACGUGUAGCAGUGAAAUGCGUAGAGAUGUGGAGGAACACCGAUGGCGAAGGCAGCCCCCUGGGAUAACACUGACGCUCAUGCACGAAAGCGUGGGGAGCAAACAGGAUUAGAUACCCCCGUAGUC
Molecule: ribosomal RNA, 463 nt
Filed under: uncultured bacterium
Lineage: Bacteria
Description: partial 16S ribosomal RNA
Rfam family: Bacterial small subunit ribosomal RNA
Source: RNAcentral